AUGACCACCUUUAUAAUGAACAAACAAAACACAACUCGAGGCCAACCGAAUCAAGAAACUCCUGCGAGCUUGCCACUUAAUUAUUACUUGGCAGCCGCGGCAGCAGCAGCCCACAUAGCCCGCAGCUUCCCGGCGUGCUCCACCAUACUCUUCAUGGGCGGGGCCGCCUCCUUCGCCGCCUCCGUCUGCUCGAACUUCUCAGCCCAGGCGGCCAUGCGCGGAGUCCUGCUGGCGUCGAUGACCGUCACGCCGAACAUCUCGCGCAGCGCCUUGAACCAGGACAGGUUGCACCCGAGCGCAAGGUCGAGGUACCCGACGGAGUCGCCGGCGAAGAAGUCCUUCCCACCGGAGCACUGGGCGAGGGCGUCCUCCAUGAGCCCGACCACCGCGAGAGUGGCGUCGAGCCUCUCGGCUCUGUCCUCCUCCGUGGACGCGCGCAGGAUGCCUAUCCACGCGGGGAACAACUUGUCGUCGACGUAGGCGGCCCAGAAGCGGGCGACGGCGCGGCCGUAAGAGUCGGCAGGGAGGAGCGAGGCGCCGUCGGCCCAGACAUCGUCGACGUACUCCACGAUGGCGAGCGACUCGCAGACGGGCCUGCCGGCGUGGAUGAGCACGGGAACCUUCUUGAGCACCGGGUUGGCGGCGAGGAGGAGCUCACCCUUGUGGAACAGGUCCUGCUCCAGGUACUCGUAGCUCACGCCCUUGAGGUGCAGCGCCAUUCGCACGCGGACCGCGAACGGGCUCACCACCGAGCCCAGCAGCUUGACGUCGUCUCCUUCGCCGGCCAU
Molecule: ribosomal RNA, 788 nt
Filed under: Triticum aestivum (bread wheat)
Lineage: Eukaryota; Viridiplantae; Streptophyta; Magnoliopsida; Poales; Poaceae
Description: partial small subunit ribosomal RNA
Source: RNAcentral